This 409-nucleotide long non-coding RNA is filed under the name Homo sapiens (human). Its description in RNAcentral is "non-protein coding lnc-SOX21-8:1". Lineage: Eukaryota; Metazoa; Chordata; Mammalia; Primates; Hominidae. The record is from RNAcentral.
UGGCAAAACCUCAUCUCUACAAAAAAAUUUAAAAAUUAGCCAGGCAUGGUGGUGCACCAGAGGUCCCAGCUACUUGGGAGGCUGAGGCAGGAGGAUCAGUUGAGCCCAGGGAGGUCAAGGCUCCAGUGAGCCUUGACCUGGGCAACAGAGUGAGACCUUUUCUCAAAAAAAAAAAAACAAAAAAAAACCCCAUAAAGUUUGAAUGUUAUCAGCCCUGGGGAUCCUUCGCACCCAUUUAAGCUCUAUAAUCCUACAAUAAUAAUACAAAGAAUGUCUCACCCAUGUGAGCUACUCUAGAAUUUAGAAGAUCCCUUCAUAAUCAUGAUCUCUUUGAUCCUCAUGAUCUUUGGCCCUGUGAAGUAGUCCAGGCAAAUAUCAUCAGCUCCAUUUUAUAGGUCAGGAAUUUGAG